This 253-nucleotide ribosomal RNA is filed under the name uncultured prokaryote. RNAcentral's name for it is "partial 16S ribosomal RNA". It matches the Rfam family "Bacterial small subunit ribosomal RNA", at positions 524 to 776 of the family's 1533-position model. The record is from RNAcentral.
UACGGAGGGUGCAAACGUUGCUCGGAAUCAUUGGGCGUAAAGCGCACGUAGGCGGUCCGUUAAGUCGGGAGUGAAAGCCCCAGGCUCAACUUGGGAAGUGCUUUCGAAACUGGCGGACUUGAAUACUGGAGAGGAUCGCGGAAUUCCCGGUGUAGAGGUGAAAUUCGUAGAUAUCGGGAGGAACACCGGUGGCGAAGGCGGCGACCUGGGUAGAUACUGACGCUGAGGUGCGAAAGCGUGGGGAGCAAACAGG